This 443-nucleotide ribosomal RNA is filed under the name uncultured bacterium. RNAcentral's name for it is "partial 16S ribosomal RNA". It matches the Rfam family "Bacterial small subunit ribosomal RNA", at positions 338 to 795 of the family's 1533-position model. The record is from RNAcentral.
CCUACGGGAGGCAGCAGUGGGGGAUAUUGGACAAUGGGGGGAACCCUGAUCCAGCGACGCCGCGUGAGUGAAGAAGUAUUUCGGUAUGUAAAGCUCUGUCAGCAGGGAAGAAAGAAAUGACGGUACCUGACCAAGAAGCCCCGGCUAACUACGUGCCAGCAGCCGCGGUAAUACGUAGGGGGCAAGCGUUAUCCGGAAUUACUGGGUGUAAAGGGAGCGUAGACGGCAGCACAAGUCUGGAGUGAAAUGCCGGGGCUUAACCCCGGAACUGCUUUGGAAACUGUGCAGCUAGAGUGCAGGAGAGGUAAGUGGAAUUCCUAGUGUAGCGGUGAAAUGCGUAGAUAUUAGGAGGAACACCAGUGGCGAAGGCGGAUUACUGGACUGUAACUGACGUUGAGGCUCGAAAGCGUGGGGAGCAAACAGGAUUAGAUACCCCUGUAGUC